GAUGAACGCUGGCGGCGUGCCUAAUACAUGCAAGUCGAGCGAACAGACGAGGAGUUUGCUCCUCUGACGUUAGCGGCGGACGGGUGAGUAACACGUGGAUAACCUACCUAUAAGACUGGGAUAACUUCGGGAAACCGGAGCUAAUACCGGAUAAUAUAUUGAACCGCAUGGUUCAAUAGUGAAAUACGGUUUUUCUGUCACUUAUAGAUGGAUCCGCGCCGCAUUAGCUAGUUGGUAAGGUAACGGCUUACCAAGGCAACGAUGCGUAGCCGACCUGAGCGGGUGAUCGGCCACACUGGAAGUGAGACAGGGUCCAGACUCCGACGGGAGGAAGCAGUAGGGAAUCUUACGCAAUGGGCGAAAGCCUGACGGAGCAACGCCGCGUGAGUGAUGAAGGUCUUCGGAUCGUAAAACUCUGUUAUUAGGGAAGAACAAAUGUGUAAGUAACUAUGCACGUCUUGACGGUACCUAAUCAGAAAGCCACGGCUAACUACGUG
RNAcentral lists this ribosomal RNA (497 nucleotides) under uncultured bacterium. Its description in RNAcentral is "partial 16S ribosomal RNA". It matches the Rfam family "Bacterial small subunit ribosomal RNA", at positions 28 to 507 of the family's 1533-position model. The record is from RNAcentral.